AACGAACGCUGGCGGCAUGCCUAACACAUGCAAGUCGAACGAGACCUUCGGGUCUAGUGGCGCACGGGUGCGUAGCGCGAGGGAACAUGGCCUAAGGGUCGGGAUAAACGCCCGAAAGGGGUGCUAAUACCGGGGAAAGUACUCGGACCAAAGGUUUAACGCCUUAGUAGGUUACCGAGUUGGAUUAGAUGGUUGGUAUGGUAAACAUAUACCAAGGCGUGGAUCCGUAGCUGGUCUGAGAGGAAGAUCAGACACACUUGGACUGAGACACGGCACAGACUCCUACGCGAAGCAGCAGUGUGUAAUAUUGGACAAUGGGGUAAAUCCUGAUCCAGCUAUGCCGCGUGAGUGAUGAAGUCCUUAGGGUUGUAAAGCGCUUGUACCCGUUAUGAUAAUGACAGUACCGGGAGAAUAAGCCCCGGCUAACUCCGUG
This 433-nucleotide ribosomal RNA is filed under the name uncultured bacterium. RNAcentral's name for it is "partial 16S ribosomal RNA". It matches the Rfam family "Bacterial small subunit ribosomal RNA", at positions 29 to 507 of the family's 1533-position model. The record is from RNAcentral.